UAGGGAAUCUUCCACAAUGGACGCAAGUCUGAUGGAGCAACGCCGCGUGAGUGAAGAAGGUUUUCGGACCGUAAAGCUCUGUUGUUGGUGAAGAAGGAUAGAGGUAGUAACUGGCCUUUAUUUGACGGUAAUCAACCAGAAAGUCACGGCUAACUACGUGCCAGCAGCCGCGGUAAUACGUAGGUGGCAAGCGUUGUCCGGAUUUAUUGGGCGUAAAGCGAGCGCAGGCGGAAGAAUAAGUCUGAUGUGAAAGCCCUCGGCUUAACCGAGGAAUUGCAUCGGAAACUGUUUUCUUGAGUGCAGAAGAGGAGAGUAGAACUCCAUGUGUAGCGGUGGAAUGCGUAGAUAUAUGGAAGAAUACCAGUGGCGAAGGCGGCUCUCUGGUCUGCAACUGACGCUGAGGCUCGAAAGCAUGGUAGCGAACAGGAUUAGAUACCCUGGUAGUCCAUGCCGUAAACGAUGAGUGCUAAGUGUUGGGAGGCUUCCGCCUCUCAGUGCUGCAGCUAACGCAUUAAGCACUCCGCCUGGGGGAGUACGACCGCAAGG
This 546-nucleotide ribosomal RNA is filed under the name uncultured bacterium. RNAcentral describes it as "partial 16S ribosomal RNA". It matches the Rfam family "Bacterial small subunit ribosomal RNA", at positions 355 to 893 of the family's 1533-position model. The record is from RNAcentral.